RNAcentral lists this ribosomal RNA (497 nucleotides) under uncultured bacterium. Its description in RNAcentral is "partial 16S ribosomal RNA". It matches the Rfam family "Bacterial small subunit ribosomal RNA", at positions 28 to 507 of the family's 1533-position model. The record is from RNAcentral.
GACGAACGCUGGCGGCGUGCCUAAUACAUGCAAGUAGAACGCUGAAGAGAGGAGCUUGCUCUUCUUGGAUGAGUUGCGAACGGGUGAGUAACGCGUAGGUAACCUGCCUUGUAGCGGGGGAUAACUAUUGGAAACGAUAGCUAAUACCGCAUAACAAUGGAUGACACAUGUCAUUUAUUUGAAAGGGGCAAUUGCUCCACUACAAGAUGGACCUGCGUUGUAUUAGCUAGUAGGUGAGGUAACGGCUCACCUAGGCGACGAUACAUAGCCGACCUGAGAGGGUGAUCGGCCACACUGGGACUGAGACACGGCCCAGACGCCUACGGGAGGCAGCAGUAGGGAAUCUUCGGCAAUGGGGGCAACCCUGACCGAGCAACGCCGCGUGAGUGAAGAAGGUUUUCGGAUCGUAAAGCUCUGUUGUAAGUCAAGAACGAGUGUGAGAGUGGAAAGUUUACAAUGUGACGGUAGCUUACCAGAAAGAGACGGCUAACUACGUG